Molecule: long non-coding RNA, 205 nt
Organism: Humulus lupulus (European hop)
Lineage: Eukaryota; Viridiplantae; Streptophyta; Magnoliopsida; Rosales; Cannabaceae
Exons: 3
Source: RefSeq, a predicted model, not a curated record
CUCAAUAUUCAACCUCAAGUACACCAAGGAAAACUUGGAGGCUAAGUCUUGGUCUAGGAAGUAUUUUCCCUAAGUUGGUUAGGGAUUUUGAAAGGUUUUGAAGGAGUCAAAGCUUAUAGGAAGGUCCAAACCUUAAGCAAGAACACCAAAGAGUAUUGGCUAAGCGUAACUGGACUGAACGUUGGAGGGUGAAAACUUGCUGAGC